UUUUAUUUGAGAGUUUGAUCCUGGCUCAGGAUGAACGCUGGCGGCGUGCCUAACACAUGCAAGUUGAGCGAUUUACUUCGGUAAAGAGCGGCGGACGGGUGAGUAACGCGUGGGUAACCUCCCCUGUACACACGGAUAACAUACCGAAAGGUAUGCUAAUACGGGAUAAUAUAUUUGAGAGGCAUCUCUUGAAUAUCAAAGGUGAGCCAGUACAGGAUGGACCCGCGUCUGAUUAGCUAGUUGGUAAGGUAACGGCUUACCAAGGCGACGAUCAGUAGCCGACCUGAGAGGGUGAUCGGCCACAUUGGAACUGAG
Molecule: ribosomal RNA, 315 nt
Filed under: Clostridioides difficile
Lineage: Bacteria; Bacillati; Bacillota; Clostridia; Peptostreptococcales; Peptostreptococcaceae
Description: bacterial SSU rRNA
Rfam family: Bacterial small subunit ribosomal RNA
Source: RNAcentral